CUUCUGCGUCGCUCACGCUGGGAGCUGUAGACCGGAGCUGUUCCUAUUCGGCCAUCUUGGCUCCUCCUUAUUUGGCCUUUUCAAGCCUCCUGACUCCACCUUAUGACUCCUGACUCCACCUCGUGACUUCUCCAGGCCCCACCACUGGAGGGAGCAGCAGAGCUGAAGCGCUGUUCCUGCCUUCCAGAGCCGCCCUGCUUGCUUUUAGCAUGUGAAGAGGGCCAACAAGGCAGAAAUGAAUGGAUUUCCAAGCUCUGCCUCCUCUCCUACCUUUCCUCCUAUGCUCGCCAAGGUCCCAGCGUCUCCUACAGUUUGGGGUUUGUGUUCUCUCAUCUUUUCUUCCUUGUUGGAGUGAUUGAAAUAAAUAAGUUCAACCAAUAGGUGGAAACAAGUCAGCUUGAGUUUCACCAGAAAGCGUAGGAGGACCUAGGUAUCAAGAGAAGGUGAAAGAAUUCUUCAGAUGUGGAUGGAGUCUACGAACCGCAGACCCAGAAUUUCUAAGAAGAUAUGAAUGUGAGAUAAUGAAAGUUACUUCUUUUUCCUGAGCUCUUACACUGUGCUAAGCACAUAACAUCCUUAUUGCACUCAUAAGAGUUUGACACUCAUUAUUCUCCUCCUGCAGAUGAGGACGCCGAGGCGGGAGAAAUUAAGGGACUUGUCUAAGGUCACAGGCUUGUCUGCCUCCUGGGCUGGGGACUUUAAUCUCUACCUUAAGCUGCAGUUUAAAGAGAAAGAAAAAGAAAACAAACUUGAAGUUGAGCAAACAUGGGGCAGAGACAGCUCAAGGUUAUUUCUCUUCAUAUUUCAAUGAUAACCUCAGGUUGUGAUUUUUAGAAUUUUUCUCUUGUAUUUUCCUUUUAAAUUUGUUAUGGCUUUGUAGCCUUUAACUUUUGUUUGCAGUUAGUAUCCUUUGAACUUCAUUAUCUGUUUUCUCUAUGAUUUCUAAGAGAAAAAUCUGCAGAAAAAAAUAAUUACAGCUACCAUUUAUGGAUUACCUUUUGCAUGCUAGGCAAUUUACAGACAUCAUAGCGAAUCCUCUAACAACUCUCAGGAUUAGGUCUAUUAUUAUUCACUUCAACUUUACAAAAAGAGAGGCUGAGACUCAGAAAGUUUUCAUGGCUUGUCCAAGGACAUGCAGUUGGAGGUCUCCAGGAGGGGAUGAGUCACUGGAAAAUCUUUUGACAGAGCCUUUAAUGAAAAGUACUCAGGAACUUCUAAUGCUCCCUACCAGGUCUUCCCUUAUUAAGUCCCCUAAUGUGUGACCAGUGUGUAAAGCAAAGGGAUUUGCCCCAAGUUGACUCUCUGAUGUUGUAAAAUGGUCAGUAGUGUAAUAAUGGUGACCCUAUUAACAGACAAAGUGGCCCUUUUCCAUGUUGUCCCAAAGGAUUGUCAGGCCUGGCGCCAGCAAGAAUUGCUACUGAGGGAGGAAUCUUGCCUAGAACUUUUUUGAGACCUGCCACCAUCCAGUCUGCUCUUUGUUCCCCUUUGAGCCUGGCCUCAUUUGGCUGUUCUCCCUCUGGUAUGCCCCUAGCUAGCGUGCCAGCCAAGCUGUUGCCCUUCACACACCCCGCCCGCAGACCGAUAUGCUUGCUCCCUUUGCUUGGCUGCCAGGGAGAGGAUUUAUAUCAAGAUUGCUCAACUAGGAAAUGCCGAGUUCCAUACAAUUCCAAUGCUUGCUUUCUGUCACAUUUUUGUUAUUUCAUAGUCUUGACCUUUAACCUUUAUGUCGAGAAAUCCUUGUGGAUGAGUCUACCUUUGAAUGAUUUGUCUUGCAGCCUCAGGUUUAAUAUUCUGUGUCUCGAAUUAUUUUAGAUGCCUGGGCUAGUCUGCCUCUGCUCUCAUUGACCCGCUAUCAAUAAACACAGGGUUUGCUUAACAAUAAG
RNAcentral lists this long non-coding RNA (1883 nucleotides) under Homo sapiens (human). RNAcentral's name for it is "HSALNT0286400". The record is from RNAcentral. Lineage: Eukaryota; Metazoa; Chordata; Mammalia; Primates; Hominidae.